CAAAAAAGACAAAACCCCAGAACCAAAAGAGAAGUUCUAAGUUCAUCUCUUCACCCCGCAGUCCCCGCCGUCUGUUCUUUUCCCUUCGGAAACCUAACUACCCGAGGAGACUCUAACUUAGAAGAAGAAGAAGAAACGAGGAUAUUGAGUGAGUUUACAUCCUACUGGUUUUUGUUCAAGUUUAUAUCUGGUCCCUAAAAAAUUGAUUUUGGAGACCAAAAUUGAACAUGUGAUUUGAUAUAUUGUUUAAGGUAGAAAUUGGGAAGGAAUAAUUUUGAUUAGUUUGAUUACAUGGAAGUGGUUUCCUAAUUCACUUCUUCAAAACUUUCUCUCUGUUAUUUUGCAAGACAAACCUAAGAGGAGAUCGAAGAAGAAGAAGAAGAUAUCAAAUUAAACAAAAGCAAACAGUGCAUCAAGAACCGAAAAAUCAAAACAAUGGAGAUUGGUCAAUGAUGCUACAACUACGCAAGAAAAGAAAAUGAAGUUGCCAACAUACUAUAAGAAAGAAGAUUAGGAGAAGUUCAUUGAUAACAAAACUUCUGAAAAAUUGCAGAUAAAAUCUGAACAGGCAGCUAAAGCACAUCGGAAGUGAAGGCUCAGUAUACAGGUGGUAGGAAAGGUGUACCUAGAAGGUGGCUUGAAAUGUUAAAUUCUUAACACUAUAUAGCAUUUUUGAGCCAUUAUUCUUAACACUAUCACUGGCAGCUGCAAAACUAACAUUGGUGAAGGAGGCAUAUGAUAAAGAUCCUUUAGCACAAAAGUGUUUGAGCACCGAUGCUGAUACCAAGAUAUUUGGCGUCGAUCGAAAGGGUUUACAUAUGCGGAUUGGGUACAGGUGUCUAAAUCUCAAUUUCUUGCUCUUGAGUUUAUGAGGGCCAAGUUGCAGGAAGAGAAGCACAAUGUGGUGAAGAGAAUCAGAAAAACAAAGCUUUGAAAGCACAGUUGGAUGCUGAAAGACAGAAAAAUAAUACUGGAGUACAUUAUCAGAUAUCUAAUAGCACUCUUACCAGCAGGACAUUGGGAUGCCAGUAGUACCCUCGUCGUUUGGUCUUUGCUUUUUGAGGAACUUAAGGAAAAAGCCGGUUGCAGUUGCAUAUGUCGACACUAAGGUGUUGACUGAUGACAAAGAUGAUGUUGUACUUCGGGAUGUUUCAAUAGGUGAGUGGCCAAAGGCCUAUGUGACUCCCCAAGGAGAGAGGUCAAGUUAGAGUGGUAAUGACAGUAGAUUGAUUACUUUCUUUUUUUGUAAUUUUCAAAGGGUUGCAGGGAUGUCUUCCGAUUUGUAUUCGAAUAUCUAUUUUCUCUAAUAAUAAAGUUAAUUUUAAAUUGUGC
Long non-coding RNA from Papaver somniferum (opium poppy), 1332 nucleotides. RefSeq lists it as uncharacterized. The record is from RefSeq and is a predicted model, not a curated record. NCBI's taxonomy places the organism in Eukaryota, Viridiplantae, Streptophyta, Magnoliopsida, Ranunculales, Papaveraceae. The transcript is spliced from 5 exons.